This is a non-coding RNA of Oryza sativa Japonica Group (Japanese rice), 3283 nucleotides long. The record is from RefSeq and is a predicted model, not a curated record. NCBI's taxonomy places the organism in Eukaryota, Viridiplantae, Streptophyta, Magnoliopsida, Poales, Poaceae.
CUCCUCCGCUCCGGCCACCGGAGGGACACGGCGCACGUCCUCCCCGCCGGCGCCCCCCUUCUCCACCUCCUGCCCACGCGCGGGCGCGGCAUCCCUGUGCCGUCCACGCCGGCGUCGCCGCUACAUCUCCGCGCAUGCACCUCCUCCUCCUCCGAGGUCGGAUCCCCUUUUCACGUCUUCCUUCGUCGGCCUCCACCCAACCAUCGGCAGGUCGAGCACCAUGGCUCAUCAGGAGGACCACGGCUUACUAGGUGCCUGGCUGCUAAAGGUCAGAAAUACCUGUUGGAGACUUGAAAGGUUUUCCAGGCCGUAUACAAACUCAAUGAUUCUGAACCUCAGCUCAAGCCUCUGAAGCUCUGGCAUUGCCCCUUCUAGGAAGCUCAGAGGUGGUAGCACUGGUGCCGUAAAACGGAGCAACCUCAACUUUGUAAACCCCCCAUCCGGCACAAAGAUUUUACCACCUGACUCCAAUGUAUUCUUCUGCACAGUUUUGAGGAUAUUUGAAAUACCAUUUGCUGCAUCAAGUGAAAAAAUGAGAGAGAAAAGCUCAGGAAGCCUACUAAGAGUCACCAAAGUAUCUGUCGUAAGUGAAGUCAUGGACAGAGUAAGCUUCUCAAGGUUGUGCAAGCGGUCAAUCCAUUCUGGCACUUUAAACAAGCUGCCAGAAAGCUCAAGGGUGUAAAGGUGUUCUGGUUGUGCUUGUGAAGAACUCAGUGAUCUGUCAAGAAAGCCUGUGAAACUGUCAUCAAUUGCAAGAAACUUGAGAGAACAACUGCUCAAAUGCUCAAUAGCAGAGAGCAACAAUUCAUCAUCUUUCGCUUGGAAAUUAACAAGCCUGUAAAUGGCAAGUUUCUUAAGGUUGGUGAGCUUCUCCAAGGCUGCUAGCGGACGCAAUUGUUUUGGCAUAUCCACCUUGCUGCCUUCCUUACGGGUACCUUGCAAGCCCGCGAUAUCUCCAUCCUUGGCAUCGGUGGUUGUAGCAUUUCUGAUGACUUCAAGAACUGGUGCCUGCUCCCCAGCUGCUGUCCUGGUUGACCUUCCAGAGAUCUCAAUCCCAGACAGUGUCUGUAUAGUUUUCAUCUUUGUGAUUCCUUCAGUUAAUCUCAAUGCUCUCCGCUUGGUUUUAUUGCCAGCCAAUAGAUGGACCAUUCGUUGAAGCCUCUCCACUGAUGCAGGCAAGUUUGUGACAUCCGUGUCCCUUAUGUCAAGUACCUCCAAAUACUCCAGCCUGCCUAUUUUCUUCGGUAUCUUGUAUAUGUCCGUCCCACGCAAGCUUAGGUACUUCAUCUGAUGCAUAUUACAUAUUUUCUUGAGCUGGUUUGACGACAAGUCCUUGCAUCCUUCAAGAUCCAACACCUGCAGUAUCUGGAAUUUGAGCAUAGUAGAAUGAAGAGCUUUGAAACUCUCCAACACAGUCAAAGAUCGGACAUGCGACAACUUCAUCCUCUCUACUAGAUCAGUUUCUUGCCUAUCACUUUUAUGGACAGACAACCGCCGCACCUUGUAGCUUGGAAACGGUGUCUGCCAGUGGCUACCAAUUACAGUGAUGAAAUUCUCAUCACCAGAUUUGGAGACAAUGUACUCAAGGACCAUGUCAUGAAUUUGACAGCUCUUCACCUUCCCAUUGCUGCUGUUGUUGAUAGGCCGAAUCAAGUUCCUGCCAAUGAGCUCAUUGAAGUUGUCUUCUGCAACUUCCUCUGCCGUCUGCCCAUGUUUCUCAGUAACGAACCCUUCAGCAACCCAUCUUCUUAUCAAUCGUUUCCUGCUAAUAUUGCGGCCCUUUGGAAAUGUACUCAAGUAGAGCAAACAUGUCUUAAGGUCAGGUGGCAGAUUUUUGUAGCAGUGGUUAAUUAUCUGCACUACUUCUGUGUUCACUAGCAAUGAGCCCUGACACUACUAUUAUGGCCAAAGGCAGACCACCACACAUCUUCACGACAAUCUCAUCAUUAAUGGUUGGAGUGGGACACGGAUCAUUAGCAUAUAUUAUUUGAAGAAACAAUUUGCUGGAGUUCACUGGAUCGAGCUGUUUGAGCUUGUGCACAUGACCAUUUUGACGGCGGCAGGCUUCAGCUACAGAGUUAAACCUGGUAGUCACAAUUACGCAACUACCCUUAUUAUUCUUAGGUAAUGAAUCCCUAAUACUUUCCCAUGCUGAUACAGACCAUAUGUCAUCAAUCAAGAUAUGGUACCUGUUCAGGAAUUGUUUAGAAGUAAGUAGUUGUAAAUAGAGUGUGCUUUGAUGGUACUUGUAGUUGUAAAUAGAGUGUGAUUUUACAGUACUUGAGAAAGUACUGUAAAAGUUGCUCUUUAAAUAACAUUUUAUACUACCUAGCUUCUUCGUUUAAUAUUUGAACUUAAAAGAAUGAAGAAGUAGUACUCCUCCCAGGCACAAAACAUGUUGUUAAACCUUUUCAACUUUGGUAUCAAUAUUUGUUUUUCUAUUCUGCAUAAAGUUAUUGGAUUUUAUAAAUAUAUACAAUAAAAAUGCUGUUGCAUUUUGUAGACUAUUUGUAUCCAAAACGACUGUUACCUGUGAACGGAGAAAGUACCCCUUAUCCAAAUCAGUAAUAACUACUUCCUCCGUUUCAUAUUAUAACUCUUUCUAGCAUUGCCCAUAUUCAUAUACAGUAUAUGUUAAUGAAUCUAGAUAUAUAUGUGUGCCUAGAUUCAUUAAUAUCUAUAUAAAUGUGGGCAAUGCUAGAAAGUCUUAUAACCUGAAACGGAGGUAGUAUCAUAAUUCAAAUUCGGUGUUACUAUUUAAUUACUAAAAACUUGUGUGAGACUGAUCCAAAGAUUAGCUCAAGUGCUAAACCAGAAAUGUCAAGAAAAACUAUGAAGGAAUGAAAAUAAAUACUCCGUAAUAUAUAGUAGCCAUUCCUCUACCUCUUGCCUUGCAGUUGAUCAGCGAGCUUCUUCUUGAGGGCUUCAACUCCCCAUUCCUCAAUUCCGUGAAGAGCAUCCUCAGAAGCGCUGACCUGCUUCUGAUGGAACUGGCUGACAAGGCUUCUCAAAACUGUUGGGAGAUGAAACUUCUGCGACGCGAGCAUGAACGCUCUGGAAUCAAACUCAUCUCCAAACUUGCGGUAAAAUGACAUUGCGAGUGUGGUUUUGCCAAGCCCACCGGAUCCGACGAUAGCAAGGUUCAGUGGUGCCAAUCAGCCGGGGGAGAGGAGCUGGAUGGUCUCCGGGAGCGCCGGAGUUGUUGUUGCCGCCACCAUUUCUGUUUGCUGGGAGGUUCUCCACCCCGUACCUGGUGCGCCGCUCGCUGACAUGCUGCGCCCUG